This 305-nucleotide ribosomal RNA is filed under the name uncultured bacterium. Its description in RNAcentral is "partial 16S ribosomal RNA". It matches the Rfam family "Bacterial small subunit ribosomal RNA", at positions 505 to 809 of the family's 1533-position model. The record is from RNAcentral.
ACAGCAGCAGCCGCGGUAAUACAGAGGGUGCGAGCGUUAAUCGGAUUUACUGGGCGUAAAGCGUGCGUAGGCGGCUUCUUAAGUCGGAUGUUAAAUCCCUGAGCUUAACUUAGGAAUUGCAUUCGAUACUGGGAAGCUAGAGUAUGGGAGAGGAUGGUAGAAUUCCAGGUGUAGCGGUGAAAUGCGUAGAGAUCUGGAGGAAUACCGAUGGCGAAGGCAGCCAUCUGGCCUAAUACUGACGCUGAGGUACGAAAGCAUGGGGAGCAAACAGGAUUAGAUACCCGAGUAGUCCCUGUCUCUUAUAA